UACGGAGGGGGCUAGCGUUGUUCGGAAUUACUGGGCGUAAAGCGCGCGUAGGCGGAUCUGCAAGUCGGGGGUGAAAUCCUGGAGCUCAACUCCAGAACUGCCUUCGAUACUGGAAAGCUCGAGUCCGGGAGAGGUGAGUGGAACUGCGAGUGUAGAGGUGAAAUUCGUAGAUAUUCGCAAGAACACCAGUGGCGAAGGCGGCUCACUGGCCCGGUACUGACGCUGAGGUGCGAAAGCGUGGGGAGCAAACAGG
This 253-nucleotide ribosomal RNA is filed under the name uncultured bacterium. RNAcentral describes it as "partial 16S ribosomal RNA". It matches the Rfam family "Bacterial small subunit ribosomal RNA", at positions 524 to 776 of the family's 1533-position model. The record is from RNAcentral.